GACAGAGGUGCCAAGCGUUAGGCGGAAUCACUGGGCUUAAAGCGUGUGUAGGCGGACCGUUAAGUGCUUUGUGAAAUCCCCCGGCUCAACCGGGGAAUGGCUUGGCAUACUGGCGGUCUUGAGCCACCUAGGGGCAACUGGAACAAACGGUGGAGCGGUGAAAUGCGUAGAUAUCGUUUGGAACGCCAAAGGUGAAAACAGGUUGCUGGGGGUGUGCUGACGCUGAGACACGAAAGCCAGGGGAGCAAACGGG
This 253-nucleotide ribosomal RNA is filed under the name uncultured bacterium. RNAcentral describes it as "partial 16S ribosomal RNA". It matches the Rfam family "Bacterial small subunit ribosomal RNA", at positions 524 to 776 of the family's 1533-position model. The record is from RNAcentral.